RNAcentral lists this ribosomal RNA (1355 nucleotides) under uncultured bacterium. Its description in RNAcentral is "bacterial SSU rRNA". It matches the Rfam family "Bacterial small subunit ribosomal RNA", at positions 28 to 1381 of the family's 1533-position model. The record is from RNAcentral.
AUUGAACGCUGGCGGCAGGCUUAACACAUGCAAGUCGAACGAUGAUUAUCUAGCUUGCUAGAUAUGAUUAGUGGCGGACGGGUGAGUAACAUUUAGGAAUCUGCCUAGUAGUGGGGGAUAGCUCGGGGAAACUCGAAUUAAUACCGCAUACGACCUACGGGUGAAAGGGGGCGCAAGCUCUUGCUAUUAGAUGAGCCUAAAUUAGAUUAGCUAGUUGGUGGGGUAAAGGCCCACCAAGGCGACGAUCUGUAACUGGUCUGAGAGGAUGAUCAGUCACACCGGAACUGAGACACGGUCCGGACUCCUACGGGAGGCAGCAGUGGGGAAUAUUGGACAAUGGGGGCAACCCUGAUCCAGCCAUGCCGCGUGUGUGAAGAAGGCCUUUUGGUUGUAAAGCACUUUAAGCAGGGAGGAGAGGCUAAUGGUUAAUACCCAUUAGAUUAGACGUUACCUGCAGAAUAAGCACCGGCUAACUCUGUGCCAGCAGCCGCGGUAAUACAGAGGGUGCGAGCGUUAAUCGGAAUUACUGGGCGUAAAGCGAGUGUAGGUGGCUCAUUAAGUCACAUGUGAAAUCCCCGGGCUUAACCUGGGAACUGCAUGUGAUACUGGUGGUGCUAGAAUAUGUGAGAGGGAAGUAGAAUUCCAGGUGUAGCGGUGAAAUGCGUAGAGAUCUGGAGGAAUACCGAUGGCGAAGGCAGCUUCCUGGCAUAAUAUUGACACUGAGAUUCGAAAGCGUGGGUAGCAAACAGGAUUAGAUACCCUGGUAGUCCACGCCGUAAACGAUGUCUACUAGCCGUUGGGGUCCUUGAGACUUUAGUGGCGCAGUUAACGCGAUAAGUAGACCGCCUGGGGAGUACGGCCGCAAGGUUAAAACUCAAAUGAAUUGACGGGGGCCCGCACAAGCGGUGGAGCAUGUGGUUUAAUUCGAUGCAACGCGAAGAACCUUACCUGGUCUUGACAUAGUGAGAAUCCUGCAGAGAUGCGGGAGUGCCUUCGGGAAUUCACAUACAGGUGCUGCAUGGCUGUCGUCAGCUCGUGUCGUGAGAUGUUGGGUUAAGUCCCGCAACGAGCGCAACCCUUUUCCUUAUUUGCCAGCGGGUUAAGCCGGGAACUUUAAGGAUACUGCCAGUGACAAACUGGAGGAAGGCGGGGACGACGUCAAGUCAUCAUGGCCCUUACGACCAGGGCUACACACGUGCUACAAUGGUAGGUACAGAGGGUUGCUACACAGCGAUGUGAUGCUAAUCUCAAAAAGCCUAUCGUAGUCCGGAUUGGAGUCUGCAACUCGACUCCAUGAAGUCGGAAUCGCUGGUAAUCGCAGAUCAGAAUGCUGUGGUGAAUACGUUCCCGGGCCU